UACGUAGGGUGCAAGCGUUGUCCGGAAUUAUUGGGCGUAAAGAGCUCGUAGGCGGUCUGUCACGUCGGCUGUGAAAAACCCGAGGCUCAACCUCGGGCCUGCAGUCGAUACGGGCAAACUAGAGUACUGCAGGGGAGACUGGAAUUCCUGGUGUAGUGGUGAAAUGCGUAGAUAUCGGGAGGAACACCAGUGGCGAAGGCGACUAUCUGGGCUGCAACUGACGCUGAGGCGCGAAGGCUAGGGUAGCAAACAGG
RNAcentral lists this ribosomal RNA (254 nucleotides) under uncultured bacterium. Its description in RNAcentral is "partial 16S ribosomal RNA". It matches the Rfam family "Bacterial small subunit ribosomal RNA", at positions 524 to 776 of the family's 1533-position model. The record is from RNAcentral.